AACAAGGCGUACCUGCGGACCUGCGGAGGGAUCAUUACCGAGUGUGAACCCCCCCGUAAAAAAGAGGGGUUACCUCCCGUCCUUUGCUGGGAACCCCUUUCCAACUUGGAAGGAGGUUGUUUUCAGACCCUUCUGCUUCGGUGGGGUAACCCACCGGAACAACCUCAAAAAUAUUCUCAAUUCAAAACCGUUCAGUCCGAGAACUUUUUUGAAAAGCGAAAAAACUUUCAACAACGGAUC
This 240-nucleotide unclassified non-coding RNA is filed under the name soil metagenome. RNAcentral's name for it is "partial contains 5.8S ribosomal RNA, internal transcribed spacer 2, and large subunit ribosomal RNA". The record is from RNAcentral.